Molecule: ribosomal RNA, 468 nt
Filed under: uncultured bacterium
Lineage: Bacteria
Description: partial 16S ribosomal RNA
Rfam family: Bacterial small subunit ribosomal RNA
Source: RNAcentral
GACGAACGCUGGCGGCGUGCUUAACACAUGCAAGUCGAACGGAAAGGCCCUGCUUUUGUGGGGUGCUCGAGUGGCGAACGGGUGAGUAACACGUGAGUAACCUGCCCUUGACUUUGGGAUAACUUCAGGAAACUGGGGCUAAUACCGGAUAGGAGCUCCUGCUGCAUGGUGGGGGUUGGAAAGUUUCGGCGGUUGGGGAUGGACUCGCGGCUUAUCAGCUUGUUGGUGGGGUAGUGGCUUACCAAGGCUUUGACGGGUAGCCGGCCUGAGAGGGUGACCGGCCAAAUUGGGACUGAGAUACGGCACAGACUCCUACGGGAGGCAGCAGUGGGGAAUAUUGCACAAUGGGCGGAAGCAUGAUGCAGCAACGCCGCGUGCGGGAUGACGGCCUUCGGGUUGUAAACCGCUUUCGCCUGUGACGAAGCGUGAGUGACGGUAAUGGGUAAAGAAGCACCGGCUAACUACGUG